Molecule: long non-coding RNA, 1852 nt
Organism: Oncorhynchus tshawytscha (Chinook salmon)
Lineage: Eukaryota; Metazoa; Chordata; Actinopteri; Salmoniformes; Salmonidae
Source: Ensembl
GACACUGACGAAAGAGAAGAAGAAAUGAAUUGACACUGACUAAAGAGAAGAAGAAAUGAAUUGACACUGACUAAAGAGAAGAAGAAAUGAAUUGACACUGACUAAAGAGAAGAAGAAAUGAAUUGACACUGACGAAAGAGAAGAAGAAAUGAAUUGACACUGACGAAAGAGAAGAAGAAAUGAAUUGACACUGACGAAAGAGAAGAAGAAAUGAAUUGACACUGACUAAAGAGAAGAAGAAAUGAAUUGACACUGACUAAAGAGAAGAAGAAAUGAAUUGACACUGACUAAAGAGAAGAAGAAAUGAAUUGACACUGACUAAAGAGAAGAAGAAAUGAAUUGACAUUGACUAAAGAGAAGAAGAAAUGAAUUGACACUGACUAAAGAGAAGAAGAAAUGAAUUGACACUGACUAAAGUGAAGAAGAAAUGAAUUGACACUGACUAAAGAGAAGAAGAAAUGAAUUGACACUGACUAAAGAGAAGAAAUGAAUUGACACUGACUAAAGAGAAGAAGAAAUGAAUUGACACUGACGAAAGAGAAGAAGAAAUGAAUUGACACUGACGAAAGAGAAGAAGAAAUGAAUUGACACUGACUAAAGAGAAGAAGAAAUGAAUUGACACUGACUAAAGAGAAGAAGAAAUGAAUUGACACUGACUAAAGAGAAGAAGAAAUGAAUUGACACUGACUAAAGAGAAGAAGAAAUGAAUUGACACUGACUAAAGAGAAGAAGAAAUGAAUUGACACUGACUAAAGAGAAGAAGAAAUGAAUUGACACUGACGAAAGAGAAGAAGAAAUGAAUUGACACUGACGAAAGAGAAGAAAUGAAUUGACACUGACUAAAGAGAAGAAGAAAUGAAUUGACACUGACUAAAGAGAAGAAGAAAUGAAUUGACACUGACUAAAGAGAAGAAGAAAUGAAUUGGGACUGGAAUUUAUUGAAAUACUAAUUAAAGGUUAAACAUAUUAAAUGUUAAAGGUUGAAAACGUUGGGAGAUAUUAAAGGUGUUAAAAUAAUGCAGGUGAGGAGAGUUAUAAUGUAGUUUUCUUUAAGUUGUGAAUCAUAUAGACUGUGUUUCAUUCUGCUUAGAGGACAAGGCCUUAGGAGGUUGAUAACGAGACGUUAUAAUGGUCAAAUGUUAUAAUGUUUAAAAUAUUGAAUUAUUAAGAUAUAACUGGAGUAAUAAAUUAGGUUGUAUUAAGAUUAGAAUUGAGUAAAGAUGGUUUGAAAAAUGUAUGUUUUAAGAAGUUGAUGUUAAUGAAGUAUAUUAAAAGGUGCUAGCUUGAUCUGGAAAUCCCUUGAGGUGACCUCAUUGACAGACAUGUUCUAGAACAUUCUAGGUGGAACCCUUAAGGUGACCUCAUUGAUAGAAGUGUUCUAGAACAUUCUAGGAGGAAUCCGUUAGGUUACCUCAUUGAUAGAAGUGUUCUAGAACAUUCUAGGUGGAAUCCUUAAGGUUACCUCAUUGAUAGAAGUGUUCUAGAACAUUCUAGGUGGAAUCCUUAAGGUUACCUCAUUGGUAGAAGUGUUCUAGUAGCUGUUAGUUUUUUAGACACCAACUGAGGGACUGAGCAUCCCGAGGGGGGAGACAAAAAUCUGUUUAUAAUUUGUAGAAGGUAAGAACAUGUUUUUCUUGUUGUUAAAUACAGCUUCUCAUGAAAUUGUUAUAGUUUUUAGGUAAAGGGUUUAGGUAAAGGGUUUAGGUAAAGGGUUUAGGUAAAGACGCUGAAGGCAUCUCUCAAUUUAAUCCAAGGUACAUUUUUGCGUAUCAUCAAUUGGUGAUAUUGAUUGAUCCGUUUUUUAUGCCUUUUUUUCUGUCAUUUUGAAUAAACUUGCUUUAUUGUUCUGAAA